GUUUUAAAAGGUGUGAAUGGAAAAUGAAGAGUUGCGACUUUUAUGAAGAGUUGCGACUUUUAUGAAAUGUUGCGAUUUUUAUGAAGAGUUGCGACUUUUAUGAAAAGUUGCAAAUUUUAUGAAAAGUUCUGACUUUUCUGAAAGGUUAUGACCUGUCCGAAAGACUGUGACUUUUCCAAAGGUUUGUGACCUUUCCAGUAAGGCACAAUAAGAACCUUUUCACACUACCCUUUGUUUUCUAUAAAUUGAGAGAUUUCCUCUCAUUUUAAGAGAAAAAAUUUUCU
This 284-nucleotide long non-coding RNA is filed under the name Solanum tuberosum (potato). Its description in RNAcentral is "long non-coding RNA (STUB_LNC006214)". The record is from RNAcentral. Lineage: Eukaryota; Viridiplantae; Streptophyta; Magnoliopsida; Solanales; Solanaceae.